RNAcentral lists this ribosomal RNA (301 nucleotides) under uncultured bacterium. RNAcentral describes it as "partial 16S ribosomal RNA". It matches the Rfam family "Bacterial small subunit ribosomal RNA", at positions 509 to 807 of the family's 1533-position model. The record is from RNAcentral.
CAGCAGCCACGGGAAUACGUAGGUGGCAAGCGUUGUCCGGAAUUAUUGGGCUUAAAGGGCUCGCAGGCGGUUUCUUAAGUCUGAUGUGAAAGCCCCCGGCUCAACCGGGGAGGGUCAUUGGAAACUGGGAAACUUGAGUGCAGAAGAGGAGAGUGGAAUUCCACGUGUAGCGGUGAAAUGCGUAGAGAUGUGGAGGAACACCAGUGGCGAAGGCGACUCUCUGGUCUGUAACUGACGCUGAGGAGCGAAAGCGUGGGGAGCGAACAGGAUUAGAUACCCCGGUAGUCCCUGUCUCUUAUAC